Molecule: ribosomal RNA, 253 nt
Filed under: uncultured bacterium
Lineage: Bacteria
Description: partial 16S ribosomal RNA
Rfam family: Bacterial small subunit ribosomal RNA
Source: RNAcentral
GACGAGGGAUGCAAGCGUUAUCCGGAAUUACUGGGCGUAAAGGACGUCUAGGCGGUUGGAUAAGUCAUUUGUGAAAUCCCAGGGCUUAACCCUGGAAGGUCUUGUGAUACUGUCCAGCUUGGGUGUAGGAGAGGAGAGCGGAACUCACAGAGUAGCGGUGGAAUGCGUAGAUACUGUGAGGUACCCCGAUGGCGAAGGCAGCUCUCUGGCCUAUUACCGACGCUGAAGCGUGAAAGCGUGGGGAGCAAAGGGG